AUGCAAGUCGAGCGGGGUUAGAUUUUCAAUAUCCUUUCGGGGUAGCGAUUUUCUAACCUAGCGGCGGACGGGUGAGUAACGCGUGGGCAACCUGCCCUAAAGCCUGGGAUAACAGCGGGAAACCGCUGCUAAUACCGGAUAUCUUUACGAAGAGGCAUCUUUUAGUAAAGAAAGGGAAUGAAUGCUUGCAUUCAUUUUACGCUUUAGGAUGGGCCCGCGUCCCAUUAGCUAGUUGGUAAGGUAACGGCUUACCAAGGCAACGAUACGUAGCCGACCUGAGAGGGUGAUCGGCCACACUGGAACUGAGACACGGUCCAGACUCCUACGGGAGGCAGCAGUAGGGAAUCUUCCGCAAUGGACGAAAGUCUGACGGAGCAACGCCGCGUGAGUGAUGAAGGUUUUCGGAUCGUAAAACUCUGUUAUUAGGGAAGAACAAAUGUGUAAGUAACUGUGCACAUCUUGACGGUACCUAAUCAGAAAGCCACGGCUAACUACGUGCCAGCAGCCGCGGUAAUACGUAGGUGGCAAGCGUUAUCCGGAAUUAUUGGGCGUAAAGCGCGCGUAGGCGGUUUCUUAAGUCUGAUGUGAAAGCCCACGGCUCAACCGUGGAGGGUCAUUGGAAACUGGGAAACUUGAGUACAGAAGAGGAAAGUGGAAUUCCAUGUGUAGCGGUGAAAUGCGCAGAGAUAUGGAGGAACACCAGUGGCGAAGGCGACUUUCUGGUCUGUAACUGACGCUGAUGUGCGAAAGCGUGGGGAUCAAACAGGAUUAGAUACCCUGGUAGUCCACGCCGUAAACGAUGAGUGCUAAGUGUUAGGGGGUUUCCGCCCCUUAGUGCUGCAGCUAACGCAUUAAGCACUCCGCCUGGGGAGUACGACCGCAAGGUUGAAACUCAAAUGAAUUGACGG
This 908-nucleotide ribosomal RNA is filed under the name uncultured bacterium. Its description in RNAcentral is "bacterial SSU rRNA". It matches the Rfam family "Bacterial small subunit ribosomal RNA", at positions 55 to 916 of the family's 1533-position model. The record is from RNAcentral.